GGGGCCUAGGUGAUAUUUUUGUUGUGAGGGGAAACGGUAGUUUGGAGAGAGAAAAAAAUACUGGAGGAAAAAAAGGUCAAACGAAAGACGGAGGCGGAUCGCGGAACAGAUGGACAGGAUCAGACAACUGGCAGCGUAAAAUAAAGUUACAGCAUUUAGAAUUUAUUUAAGUUGUCAGUGCUCGCUGGUGAAACUGGUGGAAGGAAGGGAGCGAGCGGCUGACGAAUGCCGACCCCGGCGGCAGUUGUACGACAGGCCGCCACUUCAGCAGGGGCCUUCGCUAGAGACCGAGUCAAUGUUUCAGUGACCUCCGCGGUGGCGGAGUUCGCUGUAGCUAAACCCCUGUCUGUUGGGGAGAAAGAACUGCUAAAUUUCUGUCUAGUAUCCGCUGAGGUUCAUCCCGAAUUUGUGUUUAAUUCCAUCUUUUUCUUUUGCUUGAAUAAACAACGGUAAUCACGAAAGUACCUUAAUUCUUGGCAUCCUGUUUGUCCUGACUUGAAUCCAUGGUGUAAUGAUCAUCUGACCUAGAAGCCUGUUGGUUCAAUCUACACUCCAUUGAUUUAAAUGUACUGUGGAGAGCAUUCUAACUGAUCGCAUCACCGUCUGGUAUGGAGGGGCUACUGCACAGAGUUGGAAAAAGCUGCAGAAAGGCAAAAACUCAGCCAGCUUCACAAUGGACAUUUGCCUUGCCAGCGUUCAGGGUACCUUCAAAAGAUGACAUCCAUCAUAAGGAUGUCAUCACCCAGGACAUGUCCUCUUUGCUACCAUCAAGGAGAAGGUAUUGCAAAAGAUCUUGAGCCAUUUCUGAAGAAGAUCUUGAAGUUUCUGUGGUGUCCUUGCUAAUUUUUUCUCCAGUCUACAUCAAUUAAGAUAAGUUUACAGAUGAUUUAUUUGUUAUGCUUCUCAAAUUGGCUGUUGCAAUCUAGCAAUCAAUUAUUUAUCUUCAAAUAUAAUGAUAAAAUGAAGGGCAAUAUGCCACUGUGUUCCUUACCUAACUAUUGUUUUUGAAAUUUGCUUUCUCUAUUUUGCUGUCAACUAAAUCUUGGGUCAUCAUUCCAGUUUUUAAAAAAAUCCACUUGUAUGAUGAUCCAGAUUUCUUGCCUUGACUUAAUUGAGUACUUUUCAUUCAAUAGUUAAAAGUAUCUGCAGUUUGUUUUAUGCUUCUUUUCUUGCAGUGGUUCCCGUCCUGGGGUCCACGGACCCCUCGGUUACUGGUAAGGCUCUGUGGCAUAAAAAGGUUGCGAACCCUUGUUCUAGUCUGUUAUGCUUGACUUGUUUCUGGUCAAGAAUGAGCUAUUUGUGUAUUUCUAUUGCUGAUUAUAUUGCAUAAUUAUCAGUACUUGGAAAUGUUCUUGAAAUUUAAUGCCUGUGAUUAUGUGUGCAAACUUUUUUGUCUUUUCUAUGCACUUUACAUACUAAUGUUGUAAAAUCUUUUUUUGUUUUUAAACCACUGUUGCUGUUUUGACUAUGUAGCCUGCAUGCUUUUUUUUUGAUAUGUGGAAAACUAGCCUUGAAAUCUGAAGAGCAGUUCAAUUAACACUUCUCCAGAAAUUCCAAAGCUAACUAGGGAACAGGAUUUAUUCCCAAAGAAGUAAACAUUGAAGAAAAUGUAAGAUUCAAAAAUAAAUAAAAACUAAUAAUCAUUAGACCAAUUGAUCGCCAAGUAUUUCAUUUUAAUUGAACUUCCACUGGCUUGUUACCUACAUUAUUGCACCUAACCAUACAAUCUUCAUCAGCUGCAUUAGCUGAUCUCUCAUGGCCUAUUCAUCCCCGUCUGCAUGAAAGCCAGGAUUUUGGAUACAAGAGACUUCUUCGUGGCAUGAUUUCCAUUACACCGUACCAGUGCAGAGAUUAUGGAAAAGAUGGAUUCAGUCCACUAUGUGACUUGCCUCUUAGGCAAUGUAUCUUAUGGCUUAUGAGAGCUGUAAUGGAAAACUAACAACUGAGCUGGGUUAAAAGCUCAAUUAUAGUAAGAAUAGAGCAGUUGAUUGAUUGGAGUUGCUGCCAGAGUCUCUCCCAUAUCAGCAUACCAUCUUGAUUUGAACACAGUGCUGUAUCUUUAUUUCAGGCAAAUUCUUGCCGAACUCAUUAUAGAAUAUGAUUGCCUCAAGAAGUCCAGGGAAUUCAAGAGUGCCAUCAGCAGUAAAUCAUGUCAAGGUUGCUGUUAAAUUGAGAAAUAUUACGUUGACUUCUGUAUCUUUCAAGGCAGCGGAGGGAAAAAUUAACAAUAAAACAAUUCUAAUUAUUCAAUUUCUUUUAUCAGAUGCAGAGUAUAGUCAUCUAGUACAAACUGGACUGAGUUUGAUUAUAAUGUCCCCGCAUGUUCAAAUGUAGUUUAAAACGACCAUUUGAUUUCUCAUUCAAAUACCAUCAACUCAAGUGUGCCAUGUGUUUAAAAGUAUGCUAUCUUUAAAUAUAAUUCCAAUAAAUUUUAGAUGAGAGCUUUUCAAUUCUUUGAAUUUUGCUACCUUUGGACUUUUGAUUGCAGCUUUAACAGAGUUGCUAAAGGACAUGCAUUAAAGCUAUCUUUAAUUUGGAGAUUGAAGACCCCUUACCGAAAUGCACAGGGCCAGAAGCUUCAGAUUUUUUUGGACUUUGGAAUAUAUAAUGAAAUAGUUUGGAAUUGCCAUCAUUUCUGACUGAAUUCAUAUGCUACCGGGAAACACUCUCUGUCUUUAUCUCAUUCAUCACACUUACUGAUGCAAUCAUUUAGUGUGUUAGAUUUUAAUCAACAAUGAUCUUGGCUAACUCAUCAAUGAGUUUCUCUGCUGCUUUGCGAUCUGCACUUUAUUGCCCCAGAUGUUUGAAACUUCAAUGCCAUGCCUUUACUUAAGUUUCUGCAACCAUGCUUCUGAAUAUUCACACUUGCCUUCAGUUUUCUGUUUGUGGUGAUAGAACUUUGCUUGCUUCAUGAUCAGCAGUCCGUUAAGCGGCAUAUGUUCACUGUGACGCUGACAAGUACGCGAUCGGGAUCUUUAUUUUUUGCUUCAUGCAGUGUAUUCUACUUUUCAUUAACUUUUGUUCAUUACAUAUGUAAGAUCAAUUUUCACCUGUCUGUGGUGUACAGAGACAUCUGCAUCAGCUGGGGACCUUCCCUGCACCUGCUAGAAAUUUCCAUUUGUGACUAAAAAAGAAUUAAUCUGGAUUUCAGAUUUUGUAAUUUUGGAUAAGGGAACUUGACCUGUCUCAUCCUUUAGCUUGAAUUAUUUUCUCUUGAUGGCUUCAAUUGAAACCUCUUUAGCCUUGCAUCUUCUAAUAGAUAAAAUCCCUGUUACUUGUUUUUCUCUUCCUAAGGUUAGGUUCCUAUCUUUAUCUAUAUCUAUCUUCUAAUAAAGGAGAUCACAAAGACUGAAUAUUUUACUAAAUUGGGCCAUUUGGUUCAUUUUCUCUAACAUUUUUUGGAGUUGUGCCUUUCAUUCCCAUCGAUGUGUCUUUUUUUUUAAUAAACUAAUUUAUGUGCUUCCCUAUCAAUGCCAUUAGGUAUAGGCUUCAACUGAUUCUUAGUAAGAAUACCUUAACACUCUUACCUAGUGUUUCAUUUGUUCUUUCCCCUCAAACAUUAUUCAAACCCCUUAGAGUAAGAUUUAUUGAUUUAUAAAAUGUUUAUUUUUUGACUUUUGCAUCUCUACUGAGGCUUGAGUAGUCUUGGUUCUGGAAUUGAGGCUCUAUGUUGAACAGUUUCCCAUCAGUUCUGAAGAUUAGCUUCAUUUGCACAGGAAAUGUGUUCGAGGUGAGAAACAGUUUUGUUAAGAAAGAUUGAGCAAUGUGAUGGGGCAAUUAUGUAGUUUUGCUUGGCACAUUGUACAUUAGGAAUUGUCCUGUUAUAGAUCAAUCAGUAAAUAUCAGGCUGAUAAUGGCUGCUGCACUCUGCAUUUUUAUUGCAGUUGUUGCUGGGUGAAGAUCAUGCCUACUGCAUUUUUGGAGGGAUGGAAUCUUUGUUUGAAGAGGAGCUCUUCAGCUACAGCCAUGUCUUCAAAGCGUAAAUCCGAUGCAAGUGCUGGUGACGCAUCAAAGAAAAGGAAAACGAUCACGAUUGAAAAUAAAGUGGAAAUAAUAAAGCGAUCGGAAAGAGUUUGCGCAUGCUUCUCAGGGAUUUACAGCUGAUGACAUCGCCGAAACCAGGCAAGCUAUGAUUGAUACUGCUAAUGAACUGCAAUUAGACAUCAGUGAAAAUGAUGUUGCAGAGUUGCUCAACUCCCGUGCCAAAGAACUGACCAAUGAAGACCUUAUGGAUUUAGAGCAGCAGAUGAUAGCAUCUGAGGAAAAAGAAGACUGACCUAGGAACUUCGGAACCAAAAUUAGCUGAAGCCUUUUGUCUCAUUGAAGCAGGGAUGGCAAAGUUAGAGGAGUAAGGUCCUAAUAAAGAGAGGUUCACCAAAGUUUACCGUGCAGUUACUGAGAACCUCCGCUGCUACAGUGCCAUUUAUGACGGAAAAAAGAAAAGCUCUGUACAAGCCUCCCUUGAUGCCGACUUCAAGAAAUUGACUCCUGUGGUAAACCUGCCCUCUCCAGCAGCAGAAUCAAAACCUGACUCUCCAGCACCAGGUCCAUCAUAAUGUUACCUCACGAAUGCCCCUUCUGGUAUGCAAGACGUCGAUGCAACAAUGCUGUCUGACAUGCUGUAUUUUUCCUGUUUUUAUUCUUUAUACUCACUGGAAGUUAGAAGAAUGGGAGAUCUUUGUGCUUUGGUGCCUUGGUGCUGAUGUUACUCGACAAUGAGGGGGAAAUAUGUUCUUAUUUAGUCUUAUGCAUAAAACAGACACACUUGACCCAGCUAUUCUCAAUCUUCAAAUAAAAGGUUAUCAAUUAUUUCAUGAAAAAUGGCAAAUCACCAAUAUUUGCUUUUGAGCUUUAAAUACAAACUUGAAACAAAAUUGAAUACAAUCUGAAUGGAAGAAUACUGGUAGGAUUUGCUAACCUUGAUGUCAAGGUAGCAUCUGACCAAAUGUUGAACCAAGGAAGCAAAAUUAAUUGCUGAAUAUUUCCAGUUUAACAAGGUAUUCUUAUAUUGUUCUGCUUUACAUAAUUGUAAUGUUCUUGGGUCUUCUGUAAUACAGUUGUGGUCUGUUGCUGUAAACAUCCCCGACUGGAAGCUGUAAAAGAUUUCUCUAGCUUUCAGUCAGAUGUUUACGACCACCGGCUGCAGAUUCUUUAAGUGACAAGAGUUGCUCGGCAUUCUCAAUUGACCUUCAAGUGGAAUGAUUUCUUUUGGAAACUUAAUUGGUUUGAUUCUCUCUGUGAUAACUUUCUUGGAAUUACUUAGAAGAUGUAUUCUCUGUACAAGUUUUAAAAAUAAAAUUCUGAUUUAUGGAAGCAUUGUGGGCCAGUAGGUGAACUCCACUAGAUGUUGCAAUUUGCCAUCAUUAUGAAGGGAUAAAAUGGACAACCUUCUUACUGCAAGGGAUCAACUGCUAUGAUGGCACUCAAGGUGUGUAAGAUGCAUUAUUUCAAAUUCAGACAGUGGGAUUUUGAGUAUUGAUCACUGCAAUUGCUCCCAACUGUUGCAGUUUCUACCUCUGAUUUAUUUGAUGUGAUAUUACACCAAAAAUCAGGAGUUAUGAGAACAAGCAUCCAUACUGUUGUGAUUUGAUAAUAUUAUGCAUUUGCAGUGCUUUGGUACAUGAAUGUCAUCUUUUCCUUUUUGGUCAGCAAUUUAAAAGCAUUUAACGCUGGGCUAAAGAUUUAGAACAGAGUCAUAGAGCUGUACAGCAUAGAAACAGGCCACUCGUCACUCCACAUGUAUGUUCACCAUCAUGCCUAUCUAUACUAAUCUCGCUUGCAUUAGUUCCUUCUGUGUCCUGCUUAUUCAAGUACUUUAAAUGUUGGUAUUGUUUAUUUCAUCACCUCCAACAGCUCAUUCCAGAUACUAACUACAUUGUGUGGAGAAACUUACUACUCAGGUCCCCUUUAAACAUCUUUGCUCUCGCCUUAAACCUGAGGUUUUUUUUAGACAUCCCUACAAUGGGAAAUAAACUGGCUAUAUACCCUAUCUCUAUCUUUCAUAGUUUUAUAUACCUCUAUCUCGUCACCUCUCAACUAGCUUUGCACCAGGAUUGGGGAGAAAAAGGUCCUGGCCUAUCCAAACUCUACUUAACAUCUGAAUGGUAUCCUUUCUUUAGUGUGGUGACCGGAAAUGCUCAUGUUAUUCCAAGUGCAGCCAGUUUUAAGCAUCAAAACAUUGUUCACUUUCUCUCAAGGUUAUAAUAUUGUAAUUUUAUUUAAUAGUGGAUGCAAAUUGCAUGUGAAUAAUUGUUUAAUUUGAAUGUACUUGAAUUUCUUUUUCGUGGAAGCCUGUAAAAUCAAACUUCCUUCGCAGUUUCUGAAAGUAUUUUGACUGAUUUUGCAGCUGCAGUAUUAAAUUGGAGAUGUUCAGCAACUUUAACAGAAAACAGUUACUCUAGAAAUACCUGGAACAUUGUAAGAUGUUCCUUUAUGUCAUAAGGUUUAUAGUAAUUUUAGAAAAUAAAUGCUGUUUUAAAAACAAAAUCACUAAAUUUGAGGAGGUGCUUGGUGCAAAGAUAAAUGUAAUUCAGUGUGUUUGUUCUGGAUUAUUUGAUCGAUAUAUGUAGUGUGUGUAUAUAUGUAUCUGUAUAAUGUAUUUUGGGGAAUGGUGGGAAUGUGGAGUCAAGGUUACAAUCAGAUCACUCUUUAUCUUAAUUGAAUAGCAGAGUGAAUUAAAGUGGGUAAGUUGCCAGUUUCUUUUCUCAGUUUAUACAUUGACUAUCCAGUGGAUAUAUUCUUCCAUCAGCAAGCAGGUGAAAAGUUAUGGAGGAAGCUGGGAAUGUGUUGAGAUUAUGAUCAGAUCAGUCUUCAUUUUAAAUUGAAUUACAGAAAGAACUGAGGAGGGUAAGUUGUUUGUUUCUUGUCUCAGUCUAUACAUCCAUAGAGUGUUCUGAGUGUGGUGCAGUAUCCCACCCUGUGGUGUUAAGUCUCCUGGAAACUCUUGAUGCGCCUGGAUUUUUCUCCUUGCCACCUCAAUCCUGAUUCCUCAAUACCUAUUAGCAAGCUACUUGUUGGUGGAGAAACUGAAGGAGCUGGCCCUAGUACUUGCUAUCAUAGAUGUGCCUUGUGCUGUGCAUGACUGUUGGUACUGUGUUUUGCACCUUGGCCCCAGAAUAACGCUGUUGAGUUUAGCUGUAUGCUUAGGUAUUCAUGUAUGGCGGAAUGACAAACUUGAACUCUGCUCCAGUCCUUUGUGUUCCCACAUUCAUAUUGGCUGCUGGCAACAGCCAUAUCCUGUAAGCAAAUAUAGGACUCAGUACGUACUUUUUGUGACUGUGUGGGUUUCUUCCAGGUGUUCUGUUUUCCUCUCACAAUUCAAGGAUGCACUAGUUAGUAGGUUAAUUGGUCACUAUAAAUUGUCUUGUGAUUAGGCUAGCAUAAAAUAGAUAGGUUGCUUUUGGUGUGGCUUGUUGGGCCAGAGGAACCUGAUUCACACUGUAUCUCUAAAUAAAAUAAAUAAAUUGAAAUGAGCAAUUGUAUAAAUGAGAUUCUUAUUCAUCUAAGCUCUAGAAGUUCCAAAUCCACUAACAAACAGAUCUGGUUCAACUGAUCCAUGUCAUUUGUACCUUCAAUAUGUUUAACUUCAGUAAUGUCUUUCAAUGGAGCAGAAAGAGAUAUUGUCAUAGAAUGACCCUGUUAGUCAGGGUCUGUAGAACACUUGGGAGACCACCGUUAAAACAAGAUACUUUUCCACUCAAAUUUUCAGGGUGGAAGAAUUCAGGAAGCCUGUGCUGGGCUCGGCUGAGGGUUUGGCAGCUGGAAAGUAAGGAAAGUUAGUGAUAGUGGAGAAAACUAUAUAUCAGAGUGAAGCGAAAAUGCCGGCUGGUGGCGCAAUGGCAUCAGCGCCGGACUCCGGAGCGAAGGCUCCCAAGUUCGAAUCCAAAUCAGGCCACCCUUGAGCACACUUUCCAUCCGUACCUGGUUGAGCGUAGAGCUAGCCACUCGGCCUCAAAAAAAAAACAAGGGUCAAGUCAGGAAAGUUCAUAUCGUGAUCCAGUUAAUCCGAAAGGAGAUCAAUCCUGAUACCAUGCGCCAGUCAAGAUUGUCUAGUCCGACGCGCUUUAAAAAAAGUGAAAAGAAGAGAGAGCUGAGUAAUUUAUCCAGAGAAGAAAGGAAAUGACCAAGCAGUUGGGUGAAGGAGAAACAUGGCCAGAUAGAGGUUCUGAUGAAAUGUAGAAGGUGUUAGGAAGUGUUUUAGGGAUGGUGUGGAGUACUGAAGAAGAGGUGUGGGAAUAGGAGAGAUGUAAGGUGUGGGAAAUCCAUGGGAAGAUUGAAUGCAGGUAAGGGGAGUACAGGACAUUGUGUCAAGGCCACCUGUUUAGUGUUUGCUAAUGUGUGUAAAUGGGCACUGGGAUAUGUAUCCAUUUUUAUAUAGUUUUAUUCAUACAGAAAAAUUUGGUCUCCUCUUAUCAUGGAUCUUGUUGCCCUUGAAUCAUGACCUAAUUUUGCCAAAUCUGUGGGGUAGCUAGUUAUCAAAAAAAGUCAUUUUCAAGCAUUUUUGGACUCCUCACUAGAUGUUUGGAACCUAGUAAAAGAACCACAGGGACAGCCACAGUAGAGUCUCAGAAUCAGGUUUAUUGUCGCUGGCAGGUGUCAUGAAAUUUGUUAACUUGGCAGCAGCAGUUCAAUGCAAUACAUAAUAUACAAGAAAAGGAAAAAAAUGAAAUAACAGUAAAUUACAGUAUAUGUAUAUUGAAUAGAUUAAAAAUCAUGCAAAAAAAAGAAAUACAUAUUUGAAAAAGUGAGGCAAUGUUCACGGGUUCAAUGUCCAUUUAGGAAUCGGAUGACAGAGGGGAAGAAGCUGUUCCUGAAUCGUUGAUCUGCACAGCGCACUGCUAUAGCUCAGCAACAUGGACAUUCUGAUAUUGGUAUUGCCUUUAGCACAAUAGGACAAUAAACUGAAAGAACAAGGUGCUGAAUACCUUGUCUUCUGGAAGAGAAAACGAUUAGAAGUGCAGUCUGCUUGGUGUGAACUUUGUUUACCCCACAGAAGAGGAGUUAUUGAGACACCACGCCAUCUUAAUGGCAAACAUCUUAACUUCUGUUCACACUCCUAGCAUGCUGCAGUCAUACAUCAAGCUCUGCAAAUCAAGAUGGUAUGGAUAUGGCCACGGAAGAUAAUACUCUGACUUGGGAGGAAAGUUGGUUGACAUCAUUGAAGACAAGUUUAUCCUCUUGUGAAACUUUACAGCUAGGGUUGGAAGCAGUGGAAUCCUCUGAAAAGUAUAGUAGAGAGAGGAACCUAAUUCGAAUAGAGUCCUCCUGACAAAGCACUUGAGAGUAUGGUUUUGUCAUAAGCAACACCUAUUUUGCCAAAAGGAUGAACACAAGUCUUCGACACUUGUAUCUAGUCACCUUUUAGAUUAUGUUGUUGAGUGUGUGACCUCAAGACUGAAGUCCAACAGAAAACCUGGGACUUAAAGAACAGAUGGUGUGUGAAAAGACUGCAAGAGCUGUAGAAACUUGUUGGUAAUCUUGACAUAUGAAUAUUUCUGUGAUGUUAAUAGGGGAUCUCCUCAAAGUAAUCAAACCGCUGCUUUCUGAAUUACAUGAUGGAUGUGAGCUUUGCUGAGUGCCAACUCCAAUAGAAAUAAAGCUGCUCUAUCGGUUUUGAUUAUACAAAAGACUGAAUCCAGAAAUAAAGAAGAAUUAUGGAGCUUCAUUCAAAUUUAGCUGUUUGCAGAAAUUUGUCACAACUAAACAUCUGCAUAUAUGAUGAGAUACAAGCUAUCAGCUUAAGCUGUGGGUCCUUUACAGACUGGUAUCUAGGAACUUUUUUCCCACAACAAUGCUGCCCCUCAUUUCCCAUAAGUUCCCCGCUGGACCAUAUGAAAUUGUUCAACCUACACUCCAGAGCCAAUGUUACCCCAACAUGGAACUGGAAUUGAUUUAUUAUUGUCGCCUAUACUGAAAUGCAGUGGUAAGUUUGUUUUGCAUACUGUUCAUGCACAUCAAAUCAUUACACAAUCAAGGUAAAACAAUACAGAGAAAGUUCAGGUAAACAAGGUGCAGGAUCACAAUGAGGUAGAUUGAGGUCAAGAAUCUGUCUUGGCAUACUAGGGAACUAUUCAGUAGUUUUAUAACAGUGGCAUAGUAGCCUUCCUUGAGCCUGGUGGUAAGUGCUUUUGGGCUUUUAAAUCUUCUGCCUGAUGAGAGAAGGGAGAAAAGAGAAUGUCUAGGGUGAGUGGUGUAUUUGAUUAUGUUGGCUACUUUACUGAGGGAGCAUGAAGUGUAGGCAGAGUCCAUGGAAAGAAGUUUGGUUUGUGUGAUGCCUCUGCAGUUGUGGAUUUCAUUUAUCAAGCUGCAUUACACAGAUAAUACUUGCAUCUGAGCAUAGGCAGAAACUGAUUUCCACAUUAUCAUUGACUCAUUCAUUGUAUCAUGCAAGAGAAUGUUAAAGUUAGCAAAACAAGGAGCACAACAUCUUGCAAGCUGGCCAAUUCCCUGCUCCAUUAAGUAAAAACUUCCUUUCAUUUGGCAGAUUCUGCAGAUCCUAUAUUGGCCUCAUCAAUAUCACCUCUGAACCUAUAGAGCCAAUGUAGAGGAAAGUGAGCUUGAUUAUGAGGGAUUCAUUAUUUUCCAAUUGGUUUCUUUCUACAGAUUGGCAGAAUAUUGUACAAUCCUGGCCUCUGGUGCUGUCAGUGUGAAAACUUCAUUUUCUCUUUGACCAGAUGCUCUAAUUUCAUCUAAAAUGUGUGAAUUACUAGCUUAAUUGGCCACUGUAAAUUACUUCUAUUACAUAUGUGUUGUGGAAUCUAAGGAGUUGGAACUGUGGGAAGGAUAAAACAGGAUGGAGUAGAAUUAAAGUGAGUGGUUGGUGUGGAUUCAGUAGCCAAAGGCCCGUUUGUGCACUGUAUCUCUCUUAAGACUCUGAGGUUUUUUUUAAAGAGCAUUUUCCUAUUUCUGAAGAACGGUCAUCUACCUAAAACAUCAACAUCUUGUGGUCACAUAUUAUUUUCAUUUCCAACAUUUUCUCUUUAUUUAUAUGGCUCGAGUAAGUCUUUUAUUACAACAAUUUAGUUCCAAUCUUUUUUUAAGUUAUGUUCUUAUCAUUUCAGUAAUAAUGAGACCUAGACAGUGUACAACUGAGCUACAGCCGUUGUAAACAUCCUACACUCAGCUGUAACGAGGAAAAGGGGCUGAGGGAAGGUUGUUUACCUUGACUGGCUUGGAACAGCAACAUUUUAAAUGAAGAAUGUCUGAAGAGAAAAUAUCUGGAGGAGGUUUGUAAAGGUUGUCACAUCUUUAUAAUUUCCUAGUCUGCAACAAAUAUGAAGACACGAGAGAUUGCAGCUGUUGGAAUAUUGAGCAAAAACAAACUGCUGACCCCACUAAGCACUAUAUCCAGCAUUUCUGCCAGCUGUAAGAGGAUCCCAUCACCUGUCCCAUUUUCCCUUAUGCCACCAAAAUUUCUGCUCUGCAGGGACCACUCUCUUGUCAUCCCUCCUUCUCUGGCAUUUUUUCCUGUAGCCAUAAAGGUGCAACAAUUGUUCCUAUACACCUCUCUUACUUCCAGCCAUGGACUUGAACAUUCCUUCCAAAUAAGCCAGAGAUUCAGUACAUCUCCUCUGAUCUUGUUUAUUGCACUUGUAUCUUUUUCAUCAAUGUGACUAAGCUUUUAGUAGGUGAUCAGUUUGUGGAUCAUCUGCCCUGUCUGUAAUGAGUAUCUUGAGCUUCUGGUUGCAUGUCAUUUCAACCCCCAAUUACCCCCACCUACACCAAACUGUCUGCCCUCAAUCUCCAUUGCCACAGUGUGACCAAAUACAAGCUAAAAGAACAACACCUGGUAUUCCACUUGGAUAGCCAGCAACCAAGGGACGUUAAUAUUGAAUCUUCCAAUGUGGUUCACAAUCUCUGUUUCUUUCCCACUUUCAUUGGUUGCCUAUGUCCUCUUUUCCUCCACCUUUUCCAUUCCCCUCCCUCAUGUUUGAAAGAUUUGUUACCUUCCCCUUCUAUCUGGCUCUAUUUGCCCAGUUUAUUUCAGUAUCUAUUUCCACCAAUCACCCUCCUGUCUCAUUAUCCCCUACCUCAUCUGGGUCCACCCAUCGCCUAACAGCCUAAACAUCCCUUACUGGUACCUCUAUAUUCAGGCGGCCUUCCUACUAUGCUCUGUCUGGAUGCAGUGCCUUGACCCGAAACAUCAAUCAUACCUUUGCCUCAUUAGAUUCUGCUUGACAUUUUUAUUCGCAGCACUGGGUAUUGUAUUUGGAAAACAUCGCAUUGCUAAAUCAAACUUUUUUUUAACAGAAUUAAGAGCAAUAAUGCAGUGUGUUGCCACUGAGAAGAUCUUGUACAACACUUUUCCAUUCUUUCACCUUUCUAUUCAAACAAGAAUUAACAUUGGCUGUUCAAUUAUUUUGAGCUUGUAUUGUAUGUAGUAAUACAAUGUUUUUUUAAAACAAAAAUAGAACUUAUUCAAUAUCAUUGAGUUAACAGAAAUCUUCAUGCACGUAUUCCCACUUGCGUUCUGGAUAGGGAGUUGGAAGUUCCUGGAAAUAACAGGAAUAAAUGAUAUAUCAUGACCCUCAGAAUUUUUGACUUGGAUUUCUGUAUUGGGCCUUGAACUUGACUGCAGCAUUUAUGGUUUCUGAAAAUUCACGAAAAAAUUCAACAUUCUUAGAACUUGAUUUCUAAUGGCACUGAUCAGUUAACAUGGAUUAAACUUAUAGUGGUAUUAAAUAAAUUAAUUGCUCUGGAGAUGUCUAGAAUGUGCCCUGAGCAGGCAUUCCUAUGUACAUGACUGACAUAACUUGGGCUUCUUGUGGAAUAGGAAAAUCAAUCAAGCAAUAUAGUUUGCUUGAUAGACUCGGCAGUAAGUAUUGGAUUUCCUGAGAUUUGGUUGUUGGUUAAUAUUUCUAAUGAGCGGCAGUCACUUAUCACUGUCUGAUUGCAAUUUAUAUCACCUUGCUGACUGCAGAGUUUUACUCUUUUUAUUGGUCCCUGGUUUAAAAUUGGUGUAUGUUAAUAUAACUGAUUGCCACUGAAGAGUUGAAUUUCUUUUAGUUAGGUCUUGUCAUGUGGAAGAGAAUAUCCUUCUGCAGUUAAUUAUUCAGUGGGCAUUUUAUGCCUGGCAUUCAAGAAGGGCCUCUACCCUACCCAAUGUUUCUGCUCCUCAUUUGCCAUCAUGAGGUAAAACAGUGUAGGUCAGGAGAUGGAAACAACAAUCAGGGUUCAACUGGGUACAACUGUCAGGGUUCAAAUUCCACAAUUUUACUGUUACAUUUGAGUUUGGAUGUGGAACUCUUCUACAUAAUUGUACUUUGGUCUGAAUAGAUCUACAGGUAUGUUUUCCUUCCUCUCUCAAAAUCUUAGUUUGAAUUUUGUUUUGUGCAAAAUUUGUACUUAUAACUUUUUAUCUCAUUGUUAAUUCCUAGUUAUGGAGCAAAUUAUGUUGCUAUUGGUUAUUUAAUAAAUACAAAGGGAAGAGUCAAAAUUUUUGUUAACAUCCCAGCUUUUCUGAAAUGAAAGCUUGAACGUUUCACUUCAUUAAGGGUGCAGCGUAAUGCAGCUUGUUGUUAUGCAGUAUAUGCCAUCAGGUGAGUUCAGGUUUUUCAAGAUGUUCCAAUUAGAUGCUGUCUCACAACUUGAGUGAUCCAGGUCCAUUCUUGACCUUUCUGUAGUUUGCACCUUCUGAGAUUGGGUGGGAUUGUUCCAGUUCCCCUCCCUAUCCGAAAGAUCUGUGAGAUAUUAGUUAAUUGGUUACUAUAAAUUGCCCUCUCUGUGUAGAUGAGACAUAGAAUCUGGGAGAUUUAAUGGGAAUAUGGGGAGAUUAGAUUACAGGGAAAAAAUAUAUUAGAAUGGGAUUGCUCUCAGAGCCAGAAUGGUCUCCUGUGUAGUAGGGAAGUAGUGAAAUACAGUUUUUCAAACCUGAGAAAGCCUGCAGAUACUGGAAACUCAAAUCAACACACAUGAUGCUGGAGGGACAGCAGCUCAGGCAGCAUCUAUGGAAAAGAGUAAAUAGUUGACAUUUCAGGGUGAGAACCUUCAUCAGGAUUAAUGACUGUUCUGAUUAAGUGUCUCGGCCUGAAACAUCAACUGUUUACAUUCUUCUAUAGAUGCUGCCUGGCUUUUUGAGUUACUCCAGCAUUUUGUGUUUGCUGCAGUGAAAUGUGGUAUAUUUUCACUUUGAAACACAAUUCUUUUGAUAUGGGAUUCCAAAUAAAUCAUAAUGUGUACAUUCACAAACACAUCUAAGAUUUCACUUAACCAGAUGAAGCUAGUAGCAUGCUGUUCAGCUGAUUAUUUUAAGAUAUAAGAUUAACAUAAAAGCUGUAAGAUUCAUCCUUAUCAUGUUUGCUAUCUUAUGGAAAGUUUCAUUGUAUUAUUGAAAUUGUUCUUAACCACAGGAUUGUGGAUUAACAGCAAUUUUUAAAAUCCAGCUAGUUUGAGCUAAACACCUGGAAUGGUGCCAGCAUGCUUUUUUAUUUGCUAUGGAAACCUGAUUAAUGUGGGAUUAUUUAUUUUUUUUAAAAAGUUAAAUAGUACUUAGCAAUUUCAAUUUUAACUUGUGAUGUUUUUAACCCAAACAAAUAUUAAUUGUCCUGUUAAUCUGAAAUUGCAUGAGGUUAUCAUCUGAAUGAUCAUAACAAAUGCAUUUCUCCAUUACUCUUGUCUAUGCUGAGUGGUUGCCACAUGUAGAAGUAGUGGGUUUUUUUAUGCAUUAUGUCCAGACAAGCCUGAGUUCUUUUCCUUUGGAGUUUCUAUCAAGCAGUCUCCUCAGCCAGUCAAUUUUUCUGUUUACAGAGCUGCUGACUACAUCCUAUUUAAUGUUAAAAAGCAUUGUUUGUCAAAAAAAAAGCAGCAAAUCAACAUCUAUCCACUCAUAAGUUACUCAGUUGGCAUACAAGGGCCUUGUACAACACAGUGAUUAUUUGAUACAUGCAUCAGGCUGGAGCAAGAGGAUUCGUUCCAGUGUUGGAUUAAAGUACUGCUAUUCACACAAUUGCCCUAUCAAUUCCAGAGGCUGUAAAUGAACUACUAUUAGUGGUCAGGCUAGAAGUCCUCUGGCAUUGUGUUCUGAAUAUUUUCUUCGGUCCGGUCAGGUGAUGAAAUGACCCUCGGGCUUCCAGAAGAGGUGUAGAAGAAUGUAUAGAUUUGUAUUCUAAUCCUGGAAAAGAGUGUUAGAUGCUGCAAUAAAUAACAAUUUGUAUUAAAGCACCAACCUAUUAAAAUGUUUUAAUUUGUAAAGUUAUUAAAUACUUAAUUGUUGGUUUAGCUGCAGUACAGGCUUGUAUUAAGUCAACAUGUCUGAUGCAAGUAUUAAAAUAAUUUCAAGUAAAUUGGCUAAAUACAUAAACACCAGUCGUAGUUUCCUGCACUUCGAGACUAUUACUGUUUUGAACAGAAAAUAUGCUAUCCAACUAUCAUUUGUUUUCAUAUUUAUGACUAAAAAUGUCUGUUCUGUUAUGUGUGAUUAAAUAAAACUUGUGUUUAGCCCCUGUGAUUUUUUUUUGGAGUUUCACUUGGUCCUUGCCACAAAAGGUUGAGCAGCGCUGGUGGUGUUAAUGAAUUAAAUAUUUAGAGAAGUUCAAUGCCUGAAAUAUUAACCUGUUAGUUUUAUCCACAAACAUUUUAACACGUGAAUAUUUUCAAUGAUUUGUUGUGAUUUCACUGUUUUUUUAAAAAAAAAUAACAAAUUUGGAAGAUUUCCUAUAGGACCUUUUUUCUAUUACUGCAUGACCCAUUGAUUAUUUAAUCCAUGUUGUGCUGUAAACUUUCAGACUAGCACAUGAAGCUGUGUACUGUAUGUUGCAAGCAGUAGCUUGAAUGUCUUUUUUUCCUGUAUUCAGUUGCAUUGCACAAAUAAACAUGUAUGAUUACACUGUU
Hypanus sabinus (Atlantic stingray) is the source of this 15828-nucleotide long non-coding RNA. RefSeq lists it as uncharacterized. NCBI's taxonomy places the organism in Eukaryota, Metazoa, Chordata, Chondrichthyes, Myliobatiformes, Dasyatidae. The transcript is spliced from 8 exons. The record is from RefSeq and is a predicted model, not a curated record.